UACGGAGGGUGCAAGCGUUAUCCGGAUUCACUGGGUUUAAAGGGUGCGUAGGUGGGCAGGUAAGUCAGUGGUGAAAUCUCCGGGCUUAACUCGGAACGGUCAAGUGAUACUGUCAGACUAGAGUACAGAAGGGGCAACUGGAAUUCUCGGUGUAGCGGUGAAAUGCGUAGAUAUCGAGAGGAACACCUGCGGCGAAGGCGGGUUGCUGGGCUGAUACUGACGCUGAGGCGCGAAAGCCAGGGGAGCGAACGGG
This 253-nucleotide ribosomal RNA is filed under the name uncultured bacterium. Its description in RNAcentral is "partial 16S ribosomal RNA". It matches the Rfam family "Bacterial small subunit ribosomal RNA", at positions 524 to 776 of the family's 1533-position model. The record is from RNAcentral.